Molecule: long non-coding RNA, 275 nt
Filed under: Panax ginseng (ginseng)
Lineage: Eukaryota; Viridiplantae; Streptophyta; Magnoliopsida; Apiales; Araliaceae
Description: long non-coding RNA (PGIN_LNC011989)
Source: RNAcentral
UUGUUUUAUGGCAGUAUUUGAGAAUGUCGACUGAGAAUGUUAACAGUGGAGUAAAUGAGACCAUGGCGAUGCCUGUACUCACCAAUGAGGAGAACGUGCAGCAGGCUGGCAAUGUUCCUCCUGUGAACAACGCCACUGAGCAGAUGAUGAACGACGGGAUGUUUAGAAGUUUUUUGCAGUUCAUGCAAAAUCAGACGAGGGAGACUCGUGCACAAAAUACAGGUGAAAAUGAUAACAACGCACGAUUUGUCACGACCAAACAGUUCAAAGAGUUG